This 253-nucleotide ribosomal RNA is filed under the name uncultured bacterium. Its description in RNAcentral is "partial 16S ribosomal RNA". It matches the Rfam family "Bacterial small subunit ribosomal RNA", at positions 524 to 776 of the family's 1533-position model. The record is from RNAcentral.
UACGUAGGGGGCAAGCGUUGUCCGGAAUUAUUGGGCGUAAAGCGCGCGUAGGCGGCCUCAUAAGUCCGUUGUGAAAGUCAAAGGCUCAACCUUUGAAAGCCGAUGGAUACUGUGAGGCUAGAGUUCGGAAGAGGCGAGUGGAAUUCCUGGUGUAGCGGUGGAAUGCGCAGAUAUCAGGAGGAACACCAAUAGCGAAGGCAGCUCGCUGGGACGAUACUGACGCUAAGGCGCGAAAGCCAGGGGAGCGAACGGG